CCUACGGGAGGCAGCAGUAAGGAAUAUUGGCCAAUGGACGCAAGUCUGAACCAGCCAUGCCGCGUGGAGGAUUAAGGCCCUCUGGGUUGUAAACUCCUUUUAUCUGGGAAGAAAUCCAUAUAUUCUUAUAUGAUUGACGGUACCAGAGGAAUAAGCACCGGCUAACUCCGUGCCAGCAGCCGCGGUAAUACGGAGGGUGCGAGCGUUAUCCGGAUUUAUUGGGUUUAAAGGGUCCGUAGGCGGAUCUGUAAGUCAGUGGUGAAAUCUCAUAGCUUAACUAUGAAACUGCCAUUGAUGCUGCAGGUCUUGAGUGAGAUUGAGGUAGCUGGAAUAAGUAGUGUAGCGGUGAAAUGCAUAGAUAUUACUUAGAACACCAAUUGCGAAGGCAGGUUACCAAGUCUUAACUGACGCUGAUGGACGAAAGCGUGGGGAGCGAACAGGAUUAGAUACCCUGGUAGUCCACGCCGUAAACGAUGCUAACUCGUUUUUGGGCUUUCGGGUUCAGAGACUAAGCGAAAGUGAUAAGUUAGCCACCUGGGGAGUACGUUCGCAAGAAUGAAACUCAAAGGAAUUGACGG
This 578-nucleotide ribosomal RNA is filed under the name uncultured bacterium. Its description in RNAcentral is "bacterial SSU rRNA". It matches the Rfam family "Bacterial small subunit ribosomal RNA", at positions 338 to 916 of the family's 1533-position model. The record is from RNAcentral.